GACGAACGCUGGCGGCGUGCUUAACACAUGCAAGUCGAACGGAAAGGCCCUGCUUUUGUGGGGUGCUCGAGUGGCGAACGGGUGAGUAACACGUGAGUAACCUGCCCUUGACUUUGGGAUAACUUCAGGAAACUGGGGCUAAUACCGGAUAGGAGCUCCUGCUGCAUGGUGGGGGUUGGAAAGUUUCGGCGGUUGGGGAUGGACUCGCGGCUUAUCAGCUUGUUGGUGGGGUAGUGGCUUACCAAGGCUUUGACGGGUAGCCGGCCUGAGAGGGUGACCGGCCACAUUGGGACUGAGAUACGGCCCAGACUCCUACGGGAGGCAGCAGUGGGGAAUAUUGCACAAUGGGCGGAAGCCUGAUGCAGCAACGCCGCGUGCGGGAUGAUGGCCUUCGGGUUGUAAACCGCUUUCGCCUGUGACGAAGCGUGAGUGACGGUAAUGGGUAAAGAAGCACCGGCUAACUACGUGCCAGCAGCCGCGGUGAUACGUAGGGUGCGAGCGUUGUCCGGAUUUAUUGGGCGUAAAGGGCUCGUAGGUGGUUGAUCGCGUCGGAAGUGUAAUCUUGGGGCUUAACCCUGAGCGUGCUUUCGAUACGGGUUGACUUGAGGAAGGUAGGGGAGAAUGGAAUUCCUGGUGGAGCGGUGGAAUGCGCAGAUAUCAGGAGGAACACCAGUGGCGAAGGCGGUUCUCUGGGCCUUUCCUGACGCUGAGGAGCGAAAGCGUGGGGAGCGAACAGGCUUAGAUACCCUGGUAGUCCACGCUGUAAACGGUGGGUACUAGGUGUGGGGUCCAUUCCACGGGUUCCGUGCCGUAGCUAACGCUUUAAGUACCCCGCCUGGGGAGUACGGCCGCAAGGCUAAAACUCAAAGGAAUUGACGGGGCCCCGCACAAGCGGCGGAGCAUGCGGAUUAAUUCGAUGCAACGCGUAGAACCUUACCUGGGUUUGACAUGGAUCGGGAGCGCUCAGAGAUGGGUGUGCCUCUUUUGGGGUCGGUUCACAGGUGGUGCAUGGCUGUCGUCAGCUCGUGUCGUGAGAUGUUGGGUUAAGUCCCGCAACGAGCGCAACCCUUGUUCACUGUUGCCAGCACGUUAUGGUGGGGACUCAGUGGAGACCGCCGGGGUCAACUCGGAGGAAGGUGGGGAUGACGUCAAGUCAUCAUGCCCCUUAUGUCCAGGGCUUCACGCAUGCUACAAUGGCUGGUACAGAGAGUGGCGAGCCUGUGAGGGUGAGCGAAUCUCGGAAAGCCGGUCUCAGUUCGGAUUGGGGUCUGCAACUCGACCUCAUGAAGUCGGAGUCGCUAGUAAUCGCAGAUCAGCAACGCUGCGGUGAAUACGUUCCCGGG
RNAcentral lists this ribosomal RNA (1343 nucleotides) under uncultured bacterium. RNAcentral describes it as "16S ribosomal RNA". It matches the Rfam family "Bacterial small subunit ribosomal RNA", at positions 28 to 1378 of the family's 1533-position model. The record is from RNAcentral.